GGUGCCGGCCGACCCGGAAGCAUGUCUGUCCCUAGCGGAGGCGCGGGUGCCGUGCUGAGAGCGCCUGCCUGUGCGCCCCGAGCGGGGCUGGGACUCUUCCAAGAUGCCCACGUUCGCACAGAGACCCCGGAUCGCGGAAGCUCGCGUCUCGAAAGGCCUGCUGGUAGCUCAGGGAUGUCUCGUCUGUGAGUUACAGCUGCACGCUCUCCAGGAAAGAAGGAAUUUCCUCUUCUCUGGAAACCCCACCACACAGCUGGUUUCUCAUUGGUGCUGCUUGCCCAUUCCCUGAGCUGUGACUGCCAGAGGAGUGGGAGGUUGGUGGUGCCUCCAGCCCAUCAGGGGCAGGCCCUGGGACCGCCUGGGAACAGGAGGACUAUGGCACAAACCGAGUGAGUGAUGGGAGCAACCCGCAGGGCUCUGCCACAUCCCUGUCUUCCUUCACUGACAUGAAACGCAGAAAAGGCAGCUUUGCCACAACACAGGAGCACGCACCGAAUGUGGCCGCCCAGGGCUCUGUCCUUGACCCUGUUGUCCAGGACUGUUUACCAAGGGCUGACAGGCACUGAGUGCCCCGUGCACCUGGCCAGACACUGCACUCAUGCAGCGGAAAGGACAGUGAACGAGACUUUGUCCCUGGCCUCCAAAGGCUUAGGGCGUAGUGGCUGUCAUGAGGCACAGUGACAAGGGCCAGGAGGGGGACCUCUUAGGGGGCCAUGCAGUGAUGGAAGCCAGAAGGAAUGAAGGCCUGCAGUGAGGAUGGAGUGGUCGGCCUGAAGCCAUCUCUAGCAAGUGGUCAGGACGCUGAUUGUUCUGCGCAGGUUGGAGGUAGGUGGUGAGUCUGAGAAAGGGGCCGGAAAGACUCCCCAGCAACUGCUGGCAAAGGGUGAAGGGCACGUUCCCACAGGAUUCAAGCCAGCUGCCUUUGGAGGGGAGACGGGCACUCAGUUUAGGCGCUCCUACAGCAGGGUCAGCAAGACAAGCAGGUUGCGGCAAGGGUCUGCGCACUGCUGUGUAAAUGUAGGGGCAUCGGGGGGCAGAAAGACCAGGGGAGAAGUGUGCAUCACCCUUGGGGUUAAGGGACAGUUGUCUGCUAGGUGUUGCUUCCUGGAGAUGGCUGAAAAGCCAGUCCAGUCUGCAGGGACCAGGCCACCACCCACCUGAUGUGGGAGCAUUUCCCCCAAUCCCUGCUGGGCUGCUGAAUCUGGGGGACAUAGGGAAGCUGAGGCUGGUGUUCUGAGUAGUGGCAGAGCUGAGCCACAGGGCAUGUCUGAGGUCAGCCCCGAGCAAAAUGGAAUAGGGACUCAGGGUGGGUCAGGUAACUGGAAAGCGGGCACUGUGCACGCAGCCCUUGAGGGGAGCCAGGGUGGGUGGGGAUCCCCCACUGUGUGCAGAAGGCAGCAGCCUUGGAAGCAGGGUGUGCUCCUCGGUGUGGUCGCUCGAUACCAGAAAA
This 1450-nucleotide long non-coding RNA is filed under the name Homo sapiens (human). RNAcentral's name for it is "HSALNT0289709". Lineage: Eukaryota; Metazoa; Chordata; Mammalia; Primates; Hominidae. The record is from RNAcentral.